Molecule: ribosomal RNA, 468 nt
Filed under: uncultured bacterium
Lineage: Bacteria
Description: partial 16S ribosomal RNA
Rfam family: Bacterial small subunit ribosomal RNA
Source: RNAcentral
GACGAACGCUGGCGGCGUGCUUAACACGUGCAAGUCGAACGGAAAGGCCCUGCUUUUGUGGGGUGCUCGAGUGGCGAACGGGUGAGUAACACGUGAGUAACCUGCCCUUGACUUUGGGAUAACUUCAGGAAACUGGGGCUAAUACCGGAUAGGAGCUCCUGCUGCAUGGUGGGGGUUGGAAAGUUUCGGCGGUUGGGGAUGGACUCGCGGCUUAUCAGCUUGUUGGUGGGGUAGUGGCUUACCAAGGCUUUGACGGGUAGCCGGUCUGAGAGGGUGACCGGCCACAUUGGGACUGAGAUACGGCCCAGACUCCUACGGGAGGCAGCAGUGGGGAAUAUUGCACAAUGGGCGGAAGCCUGAUGCAGCAACGCCGCGUGCGGGAUGACGGCCUUCGGGUUGUAAACCGCUUUCGCCUGUGACGAAGCGUGAGUGACGGUAAUGGGUAAGGAAGCACCGGCUAACUACGUG